CCCACCACUGCAUCUGAUCAGUUCCUUGUUGGAUGGUGCAAUCCAGUGGUGAGCUGAUAGUAGACCCUGGCUUAGGAAACAGGGUUGUUCUUCAUAUGGAUAACUGUGCCAAAAACAUGGGGACAGCC
RNAcentral lists this small nucleolar RNA (128 nucleotides) under Carlito syrichta (Philippine tarsier). RNAcentral's name for it is "Small nucleolar RNA SNORA65 (ENSTSYG00000023956.2)". It matches the Rfam family "Small nucleolar RNA SNORA65". From Rfam's summary of the family: U65 belongs to the H/ACA class of snoRNAs which are thought to guide the sites of modification of uridines to pseudouridines. Lineage: Eukaryota; Metazoa; Chordata; Mammalia; Primates; Tarsiidae. The record is from Rfam by way of RNAcentral.